RNAcentral lists this ribosomal RNA (468 nucleotides) under uncultured bacterium. RNAcentral's name for it is "partial 16S ribosomal RNA". It matches the Rfam family "Bacterial small subunit ribosomal RNA", at positions 28 to 507 of the family's 1533-position model. The record is from RNAcentral.
GACGAACGCUGGCGGCGUGCUUAACACAUGCAAGUCGAACGGAAAGGCCCUGCUUUUGUGGGGUGCUCGAGUGGCGAACGGGUGAGUAACACGUGAGUAACCUGCCCUUUACUUUGGGAUAACUUCAGGAAACUGGGGCUACUACCGGAUAGGAGCUCCUGCUGCAUGGUGGGGGUUGGAAAGUUUCGGCGGUUGGGGAUGGACUCGCGGCUUAUCAGCUUGUUGGUGGGGUAGUGGCUUACCAAGGCUUUGACGGGUAGCCGGCCUGAGAGGGUGACCGGCCACAUUGGGACUGAGAUACGGCCCAGACUCAUACGGGAGGCAGCAGUGGGGAAUAUUGCACAAUGGGCGGAAGCCUGAUGCAGCAACGCCGCGUGCGGGAUGACGGCCUUCGGGUUGUAAACCGCUUUCGCCUGUGACGAAGCGUGAGUGACGGUAAUGGGUAAAGAAGCACCGGCUAACUACGUG